GGAGUUUGCAGAGAGUCUGCCCCUGUGUCAGAUGUUCCCUCCAUAUCCCUGUCACCCUGUCAGCUGAAUUUCUGAUUGCCACUGAAGGCAGACAGCAGCCUCUGGAGCACCGGAGGGGGUUUGAAGGUGAAAAAUCUCCCAGGACAGCAUCUGAAAGUUGUGCUCCUAGCUGCACAGCCUUUGAGGUCUGCGAUGGAGACAGCGCGGGAGCAAAUCCAUCUCGGAAGCGGCUUUUUCUCUCUCCUGCCUGCUCCCCUUUUCUCUGUCUCUCUCUCUCGGUCCUUUUGCUCCGAUCUCCCUCAUCAGACUUUAAUGACAUGCCCAGUUACUGGCACUAAUGAAGGGCCACGGCUUUCACUAACAGGCCAACUGAGAUGGAUUCUUCAUGAUUGACUCGAUAGCCCGAGAGGGGCUGUGUGACAGCUCUCCUCCCCGGGGCUUUGAACAAAUGCUCUCAUCUCUAAUCGAGUUCCUUCCAGGAUUAAUGAAGCCCUGAGAUCACUUUUAUCUCCCGGAACAAGACGGAGCAGCUUCCAGAAUCAAAGUCUCUCAGAAGAUUGUUGGAGCUCUCAUCCAAGCUUGUCAUUGAAGAACACCGUCUAACAGGAAUGAAAUAUCAACACAACAUAAGAAUUACAGCCUUGUGACGGGAUCCAUUGGUGUCUGCAAACUCCUUCAAGGUCUCAAAGGAAAACGGGUUUCUUGAGGGAGUUGACUUACUCUAUGCUCACCCGCCGUGGGAAGCCGGGCUUGAUUGUCUCCACGCUGCCCUUAAUGUGAUGCCAGGCAACCUCGCAGCUUCAACGUACCUUGAGGAAAUCGUGUCAUCCCAAGUUAUCCAGAUAGAAAAGAUCAGUCGUGACUUUCUGCCGGGGCCUGCCUGGCAGAGCAGAUGGUUGGAAAUGUGACCAGAACUGGCCCAGUUUCUGCUCCUAACAACUGCUGUUUCAUGGAGCGCGUCUUCUGCCAAAAUGAAAUCUGCACUUUCUCCCGUUUAGCUGCUGCGGAGGUGAGAAAACGAGCAGGAGUUGAGGCUGAAAAAAAUGUUAACAGCAUGGAGAAAGAGUCAUCAGCAUCUUCCUGCACAGAAACGAUGCGGCUCUGAUCUGAAGCCAGGCCGCUGUCUUGUGCAGUGCUUUGCUUCCACAAGGGGAGGAGAGGACAGAAAAUGUGUUGCAUCUCCCACGACUUGCACUCCUACCAGAUAGCAGGUAGGGGCAGUUGAUCUGGUUGAUAUGGCAUCAAGCAAUCGUGAGAUCAGGCACCGGGAGGAAAAAUCUUUCUCUAGGCAGCUGUCAGUGCUUGUUAUGCCUAACACAGAGCAUAUGGUAAAUAUAACCAGAAGCCAAAAUAGAGUUAAUUGGUCUGUGUCAAACAUUUGUAGUGAUUGCCCCAAACUUGCACGUCGAGUGGAACGCAGGCUAGCUUGACACAGAGGCUCUCCAUUAGUCUCAGGCUGGUUUCGGAGGUACCCCAGCCCAGCUGCCGAGGGUUUCCUGUGAGUGGUCACAUCAGAAACCAGAUCUGUCUGCAAGAUGGUACCACUGCAACCCAUUGGAUCAGGCUUCCCAUUGGUUGAGCUGGGAACUGAGACCUGGCCCCCUCACCCCCCUUUGUUUCUUUACAAGACAAAGCUGUGCUUAAACUGCGGGUCUAGCCGGAGGGGGCUUUACACUCCUUGCAGCUGGCCGGAGCGGGAGCGCUAGGACCAUAAAUCACUCCACGAAGCCUGCAGCAAUAUGUGGACAACCUUCUAGUUGUGUGGGGGUCCUAUUCUCACCUGGAGUAAAUUCUCAUAGCUCUUUGGAAGUCUCUGACCUACUCUGCACGGUUUGGAUCCUGGGAAUACCCAAGGGAGCUCAUUUGGGGACCUGUGAAUCCCACUUUGCUAGAUUUGGGGCCUCUUGCAGCUGGUUUUGUGUUGUGGAGCCUGCUCAGGUUUUCUGCUGGUAUUCUCUUUUGCUCAGUGUGGGUCUGGGGCCAGCCAGUUCCUCCCCUCAGGGGUUUUAAGUUUCCUGUAAGCUGGUUCCAGGUGAUCUCACAUGGUUUGGGGACUUGAAAUCCUAUUCCAUGUGCUUCCAUUUUCCCCCCGCUUACCAUAUUGAGAGUCCAGAAGGAUUCGAAUCCAAGAAAUAAGAGGCUCUGAGCUUGAAGCAGAGCCUAAGUGUUUUUGGCUGAGCCACUUCGAGUCUUCCUCUCAAUUUCCUCCAAGACUGAAGCAGACAAAACAAAAUGAGAGGGGGACACUCCUUUCCACUGGAAUCCUUAGGCCGGGGAUCUGGUUUCCAUAUUCCUGGCUGACUCUGCGCUCCGGGCUCGCUCCCUCCUGUACGGGAAGGUGUCACGUUUCCGCAGACAUUACCAAAUAC
Alligator sinensis (Chinese alligator) is the source of this 2369-nucleotide long non-coding RNA. RefSeq lists it as uncharacterized. The record is from RefSeq and is a predicted model, not a curated record. Lineage: Eukaryota; Metazoa; Chordata; Crocodylia; Alligatoridae. The transcript is spliced from 3 exons.